CACCAAUCACGCCUGGCGUGGUAUUGGGCGACGGGGCGAGUCACAUCGCCCCGCGCCUCAAUGAUCUUUCCGGCGGGACGGACCGUAUCUCAGCGUUGUGCAAACGAGUCGCUGGCGAUGUGCGGGACGGCCGUGCCGUUAAACACCCCCUUCUUUA
RNAcentral lists this unclassified non-coding RNA (157 nucleotides) under uncultured Teratosphaeria. Its description in RNAcentral is "sequence contains ITS2". Lineage: Eukaryota; Fungi; Ascomycota; Dothideomycetes; Mycosphaerellales; Teratosphaeriaceae. The record is from RNAcentral.